GUUGUAUAGUCAAGUAAUUAAGUGCAUGUGGUGGAUGCCUUGGCAGUCAGAGGCGAUGAAAGACGUGAUAGCCUGCGAAAAGCUCCGGGGAGGCGGCAAAUAUCCUUUGAUCCGGAGAUGUCUGAAUGGGGGAACCCACCUACUUUAAGGUAGGUAUUGCAACAUGAAUACAUAGUGUUGCAAGGCGAACGAGGGGAAGUGAAACAUCUCAGUACCCUUAGGAAAAGAAAUCAAUUGAGAUUCCCUCAGUAGCGGCGAGCGAACGGGGAUCAGCCCAUUAAGUUAUGUGUGUUUUAGUGGAACGCUCUGGGAAGUGCGAACGUAGAGGGUGAUAUUCCCGUACACGAAAGGGCACACAUAAUGAUGACGAGUAGGGCGAGGCACGUGAAACCUUGUCUGAAUAUGGGGGGACCAUCCUCCAAGGCUAAAUACUCCUGACUGACCGAUAGUGAACCAGUACCGUGAGGGAAAGGCGAAAAGAACCCCUGUGAGGGGAGUGAAAUAGAUCCUGAAACCGCAUGCAUACAAGCAGUGGGAGCACCUUCGUGGUGUGACUGCGUACCUUUUGUAUAAUGGGUCAGCGACUUAUAUUCAGUAGCGAGGUUAACCGUAUAGGGGAGCCGUAGAGAAAUCGAGUCUUAAUAGGGCGUUUAGUUGCUGGGUAUAGACCCGAAACCAGGCGAUCUAUCCAUGAGCAGGUUGAAGGUUGGGUAACACUAACUGGAGGACCGAACCCACUGUCGUUGAAAAGCCAGGGGAUGACUUGUGGAUAGGGGUGAAAGGCUAAUCAAGCCUGGUGAUAGCUGGUUCUCCCCGAAAGCUAUUUAGGUAGCGCCUCGGACGAAUACCAUAGGGGGUAGAGCACUGUUUCGGCUAGGGGGUCAUCCCGACUUACCAAACCGAUGCAAACUCCGAAUACCUAUGAGUACUAUCCGGGAGACAGACUGCGGGUGCUAACGUCCGUAGUCAAGAGGAAAACAAUCCAGACCGCCAGCUAAGGCCCCAAAAUCAUAGUUAAGUGGGAAACGAUGUGGGAAGGCAUAGACAGCUAGGAGGUUGGCUUAGAAGCAGCCACCCUUUAAAGAAAGCGUAAUAGCUCACUAGUCGAGUCGGCCUGCGCGGAAGAUGUAACGGGGCUAAAACUAUGUGCCGAAGCUGCGGAUNNNNNNNNNNNNNNNNNNNNNNNNNNNNNNNNNNNNNNNNNNNNNNNNNNNNNNNNNNNNNNNNNNNNNNNNAUGCUGGAGGUAUCAGAAGUGCGAAUGCUGACGUGAGUAACGACAAAACGGGUGAAAAACCCGUUCGCCGAAAGACCAAGGGUUCCAGUCCAACGUUAAUCGGGGCUGGGUGAGUCGACCCCUAAGGCGAGGCCGAAAGGCGUAGUCGAUGGGAAAAUGGUUAAUAUUCCAUUACUUCUGUGUAAUGCGAUGAGAGGACGGAGAAGGCUAAAUCAGCCUGGCGUUGGUUGUCCAGGUGAAAGGAUGUAGGCAUGUAUCUUAGGCAAAUCCGGGGUACUCUAUGCUGAGAUCUGAUAGCAAGCUGUACUUGUACAGCGAAGUGGUUGAUGCCAUGCUUCCAGGAAAAGUCUCUAAGCUUCAGUUACACAGGAAUCGUACCCGAAACCGACACAGGUGGUCAGGUCGAGUAGACCAAGGCGCUUGAGAGAACUCUGCUGAAGGAACUAGGCAAAAUGGUACCGUAACUUCGGGAGAAGGUACGCUGUUGUUGGUGAUGGAACUCGCUUCCUGAGCUGACGACAGCCGCAGAAACCAGGCCGCUGCAACUGUUUAUUAAAAACAUAGCACUCUGCAAACACGAAAGUGGACGUAUAGGGUGUGAUGCCUGCCCGGUGCUGGAAGGUUAAUUGAUGGGGUUAGCGUAAGCGAAGCUCUUGAUCGAAGCCCCAGUAAACGGCGGCCGUAACUAUAACGGUCCUAAGGUAGCGAAAUUCCUUGUCGGGUAAGUUCCGACCUGCACGAAUGGCAUAAUGAUGGCGGCGCUGUCUCCAGCAGAGGCUCAGUGAAAUCGAAAUCGCUGUGAAGAUGCAGUGUACCCGCGGCUAGACGGAAAGACCCCGUGAACCUUUACUGCAGCUUGACACUGAACUUUGACCUUACUUGUGUAGGAUAGGUGGGAGGCUUUGAAGCUGGAACGCUAGUUCCAGUGGAGCCGUCCUUGAAAUACCACCCUGGUAAUGUUGAGGUUCUAACUCUGUCCCGUGAUCCGGGACGAGGACCGUGUCUGGUGGGUAGUUUGACUGGGGCGGUCUCCUCCUAAAGAGUAACGGAGGAGUACGAAGGUGCGCUCAGCGUGGUCGGAAAUCACGCGUAGAGUAUAAAGGCAAAAGCGCGCUUAACUGCGAGACCCACAAGUCGAGCAGGUACGAAAGUAGGUCUUAGUGAUCCGGUGGUUCUGUAUGGAAGGGCCAUCGCUCAACGGAUAAAAGGUACUCUGGGGAUAACAGGCUGAUACCGCCCAAGAGUUCAUAUCGACGGCGGUGUUUGGCACCUCGAUGUCGGCUCAUCUCAUCCUGGGGCUGAAGCAGGUCCCAAGGGUAUGGCUGUUCGCCAUUUAAAGAGGUACGCGAGCUGGGUUUAGAACGUCGUGAGACAGUUCGGUCCCUAUCUACCGUGGGCGCUGGAAAUUUGAGAGGAUCUGCUCCUAGUACGAGAGGACCAGAGUGGACGAACCUCUGGUGUACCGGUUGUGACGCCAGUCGCAUCGCCGGGUAGCUAUGUUCGGAAGGGAUAACCGCUGAAAGCAUCUAAGCGGGAAGCCUACCUCAAGAUAAGAUUUCCCUAGGACUUUAUGUCCUCUAAAGAGCCGUUCGAGACUAGGACGUUGAUAGGUUGGAUGUGGAAGCAUAGUGAUAUGUGAAGCUGACCAAUACUAAUUGCUCGUGAGGCUUGACUAUACAACACCCAAGCAGUUG
This 2929-nucleotide ribosomal RNA is filed under the name Acinetobacter baumannii. RNAcentral's name for it is "23S ribosomal RNA". It matches the Rfam family "Bacterial large subunit ribosomal RNA". Lineage: Bacteria; Pseudomonadati; Pseudomonadota; Gammaproteobacteria; Moraxellales; Moraxellaceae. The record is from RNAcentral.